AAUAUUUCUCUCUCUAUUUUGUACACUCGCCUCUCUCUCUCUCUCUCUCUCUCUCUCAUCGUUCACGAAAGUGAAAUUAAUGUUGAUCAUCAAAUCUCAUACUCACAAUUCUUGAAACCCCCACUUUCUCUUCUCACACACUGAUCAGCCCUCACACAGCUUAACUAAUUCAACCCAUUUCAAUCUUUCAGCUCAAGUGGCUAUAAAUAUUUUUCCACUCUUCGAGAAUUUAAUUCCAUCGAGCUCAUUACCGGCCGGAUAUAUAGAUCCACAGCUCAAACUCUCUUCAAGCUGAUCACCAUUUCAAAAAUCCUUAAACUAUGAGAGAUCAAUCCUCACAUAACUGAAAAAGCCAGUUUCCAAUUCUGAUAAACAAAUUGUGUCAAGUAAUUUGAUAAUUCAAUGAACAACAGAGGAGAGAGAAAGCUAUGGCGCCGAAGUUCAGUCAGUGAAAUUAAGUGACAGCUCCAAAACCCUGAUUUCUCCAUCGUUUUCCAUCAGGUACUUGCAGAGGUACGCCGAUUAAAUGAAUCUCUUUCCCAUUAACUUCACUUUCUCUGUCUUCGAAUUAAAUGCUUCUUCUUUUUUUCAUCGAGCUGCGAGCACCCUAUGCAACAGUAAUCUGGUGCUUCUCCAACUAUAGUACUCUCUCCAAUCAUGAUGUCACAGUUGAUGUCAAAUUUCAAUAGAGAACAAACAUGUAAACUGAUAUUCCCACACACACAAGUAACUCACUAUUCAUAACAAAGAAUAUCAAUUUUAUAUAUAAAAAUAUCAGUCCCAAUAAACAUUAANNNNNNNNNNNNNNNNNNNNNNNNNNNNNNNNNNNNNNNNNNNNNNNNNNNNNNNNNNNNNNNNNNNNNNNNNNNNNNNNNNNNNNNNNNNNNNNNNNNNAUAUAUAUAUAUAUAUAUAUAUAUAUAUAUAUAUGUGAUUGUUACUUCUUUCUUCUUUUUUCUAAAAAGAAGCAUACUAAAUACAAUCAUUGAAAUAAUAAAUACUUCUAUUUUUUUAUGUUUGGUGCGAAUAAAUAAUUAUAUUUAUAUAAUAGCAUAAUAAAUCCCGUAUUCCAUAGUUUUUGUUCAUCUUCAUCGAUACUCCAUAUUCCAUAGUUUAAUUUGUCCUCAAAAAUAGUAUUCCAUCUGUUUCACAAGUCUUAUUUACAAAAUUUAUAAAUACGAGGAAUAAUAUUUAUUUUAUACCAUGUAUUUUUAAAAGUAAUAUGUUGUUAGUGUAGUAAUAUGGUAUAAUUUUAAAAUUAAAACUAUUUUAUUUUAUAUUAAAAAAAGAACCCAGCCACUUGCUCAGAGGUAGACGACUUGGCCUAGGUUCAAUAUUUACCUUCUCCCGAAUUAUCAAAAAAAAUAAAAUUCAACUACUAAUGGAGGAUAUAACUAUUUAAAAAUUCAAGUAGGAAUUCGAACAAAUUCGACUACUAGUUGGAGGAUAUGCUUUGCCGACGAAAAAGGGAUUUGAUCCUCUCCAGCGUCAGCGUGUACCAAAGGACUGGACCCUCCGUCUAAUAAACAAGAAAAUUGUCAUGUGAUGUGGGUGGCCAUGCAAAGAAUGAAGGUGGGAUCAUCUCCGUCUAUCUAAUAAACAUAAAUAUUACUAAAAAAAAGUUUUUUAAAAAUAAAUAUAGUAUUUUCAGCCAAGUAUGUCUUUCUGCUUAAGAAGAAGUACAGUUGAUUACAGUCCAUAUUUACUGUAAUACGUAAUCAGACGGUCAAGAUCUCAUCAGGUUGUCUGAGCUACCGACUGCCGACACAGGGUUGGUGGGUCCCGGUGUGUCGAGUGCGAUAAGGUCUUACUUUCCAAACGUCAUUAUAUUCAAAAUCUAUGAAGCAAAUCUGAAUACCCAAGCCAGCACUGUCAUCACCUAGCUUACUUUUAAGCUACGGAUUUUAAACCGUUACCAUAUGAAUCAUUAUAAAUUUGAAAUCUUUGUCAUUGUAUGAUAAAAAUAAUACUCAAACAGGCAAGGAAACUGAUUACAACAUUAAAAAUGAUGUUUUAAUCAUGCAGAAAAUUAUGGGUUUACUGAUUUUGUACUCCCUCCUCCUCGUUCCAAAAUAAGUUAUUACAUUUUGAAAACAACUAUUUUUAAAGAUAAAUUAUGGUCUUAAAUCUACUCAUAAUAUUAGUUUUAAUACUAGUAGUUUGAUGUUAGAAAUAAUAGUAUAAAAUAAAAAAUUUAAAACGGAUAAAAAAAUAUAUCUUUACAUUUAGAACAUGGCGAUUAACUCAGCUUGUGGUAGCUUAAGUUAGUUAGGGGGUCACUUUCGGGUUUGUGGGUGGGUUGCUUUUAAUGAGGUGGGUGAUGGGAGUUGAUUUUUUUUUUUUAAUCGAGUAUAAAUAGAAGAUGCACUAGCUGAUUUCUUAUUUAAUUAAUAAUUGCUUUCAUAAGUAUGUCUGGCAUUACACUUAUUGUCCUUUUUUUCACUGGUAAUGGAUUGAUGGGAGUGGCCAACUUUUAAUAAUUAAUCUUUUGAUACUCUUUGGUCUGCUUCUGCUAUCACUACACUUCCAAUCCUUUAAGGUAUUUCCAGUCGAUCUUAACUUCAAUUCUCAUUCCAGUGUAGUUUCCAACAAAUUUACAAGUGAUGCUGGUUUUGUACAUGCUACUAAAGAGGACAAACAUAUGAAUUUCCAAUGCUUUUUGGAGUUCAAAGCAAACUUGGUGUUUUUGUUUCCUGACAGCUCCUUUCCUUUCCCCAUGCGCACUUGUUUCAAAAUAUAAGUUUGUUCUGAGGUUUAGACUUUUCAAAUAGGGAUUAGUUUAGGCUGACCAGCCAUCUUUAUAAUCUUGUGUGACUAUACCUAUCUAAUUUUUUAGUGACAGUACUUGGGUAUGUCUUGUUGUUUGGAC
RNAcentral lists this long non-coding RNA (2867 nucleotides) under Panax ginseng (ginseng). RNAcentral describes it as "long non-coding RNA (PGIN_LNC002125)". The record is from RNAcentral. Lineage: Eukaryota; Viridiplantae; Streptophyta; Magnoliopsida; Apiales; Araliaceae.